UGGCCAGAGGACUCAUUAGCUGAUUCCGCAGUUAACUCACCUGGGGGAAAAAAGCUUUGGAAGUCCAUGAAAAUACGUCCAAAUCCCUGACUCCUUGGCUAGCAUUAAAGAUAUUCUGAGCAACAAAGUUUAAGAAAGAAAAAUAUCAACAAAGAAAGGGAACAGGAUAUCAUCUGCAGAAGAUGCGUGCACAGUAACAUUUUUCUGUACUCUAGCACCAACAUGGAAAUAUGAUUUUACUAAAGAGAAACUGAAGCCAUCUGAGUAAACAACACACCGAAGAAAUUCUGUCUGAUAAGUAAGUUUUUGUCAGAAGCUCUCCGUGGAUAUAGUGUGUCAUGCCAUUUACUAAAAUUAAGAGCCAGACGUUGUUACAAAGCUUAAGAUACUCAAUGCAAGAAAGAAACCUUAAAAUUCUUUAAAUGAGGACGUAUUUGUUCUAAUACAAGCCAGAUUUGUUUUAUGACAGAAACCAGUCUGCUGUUUUAUAAUAAAAAUGGAAAUGAUAUCGAUGUAUAGAAAAUGCAAUUAUCAUUAUGAAUAAUAAUGGCAUGUAGUUUACGUGAACUUAUUACUUUUUGAAGUACAAAAAUAAAAA
RNAcentral lists this non-coding RNA (598 nucleotides) under Pongo abelii (Sumatran orangutan). Lineage: Eukaryota; Metazoa; Chordata; Mammalia; Primates; Hominidae. The record is from RNAcentral.